GAUGAACGUUGGCGGCGUGCCUAACACAUGCAAGUCGAACGCUAGUAGCAAUAUUAGAGUGGCGCACGGGUGAGUAACACGUAGCUUAUCUACCUCCCAGCGCGGGAUAACGGUUCGAAAGAACUGCUAAUACCGCAUAAGCUCACGAGCUAUAGAGGCUGGUGAGAAAAGGCUUAGGUCACUGGGAGCGGGGGCUGCGGCCCAUCAGCUAGUUGGUGAGGAACGGCUUACCAAGGCGACGACGGGUAGGGGACCUGAGA
Molecule: ribosomal RNA, 260 nt
Filed under: uncultured bacterium
Lineage: Bacteria
Description: partial 16S ribosomal RNA
Rfam family: Bacterial small subunit ribosomal RNA
Source: RNAcentral